This 274-nucleotide ribosomal RNA is filed under the name uncultured bacterium. RNAcentral's name for it is "partial 16S ribosomal RNA". It matches the Rfam family "Bacterial small subunit ribosomal RNA", at positions 523 to 796 of the family's 1533-position model. The record is from RNAcentral.
ACACGUAGGAGGCAAGCGUUAUCCGGAUUUACUGGGCGUAAAGCGCGUGCAGGCGGUCUGGUAAGUUGGAUGUGAAAGCUCCCGGCUCAACUGGGAGAGGUCGUUCAAAACUGCCGGACUAGAGGACGGUAGAGGGAGGUGGAAUUCCCGGUGUAGUGGUGAAAUGCGUAGAUAUCGGGAGGAACACCAGUGGCGAAGGCGGCCUCCUGGGCCGUUCCUGACGCUAAGACGCGAAAGCGUGGGGAGCGAAGGGGAUUAGAAACCCUAGUAGUCC